CAUCAAAUCCUUUUUGAUUCUCACAUCUGUUCACACACAUACAUAACUAGGGUUCAAUAGAGUAGAAUCAAAAGAAAACGAAGAAGAAUGAGAGAAUCCUAGAGCAUGCUCAUUUCAAACGAGUUGAUAUUCCAUCAUCAACGAAAAAUGGAGUUAACUUCCGGCCACCGUGCCGCUGUUGUUGUUUCAGACGAACAAAACAAACCCAAACGACGGAACUAUUCGAUUUUUUUAUGUCCUAUUGAUUUUUUUUUGGUUCAUUCCGUCUCAUUGAAUCGCUUUCUCUCUGAACGCACUAUAACCAUCAGAAAUAUUUCAUUAUUUCAGACGAAGUGAGCUGGCAAACGAAAAGAUUACCAGUUAUAGUGAAAGACAUGCGUGUAUCACUUGAUGGUGAUCUGAUCAAAUGGGACAAGGCAAAAAUCGGAUACCAUGUAGGCAUUGAUGUAGCAGAGGGCUCGGUCAUGGAUUUCAAUCUUCAUGUAGGUAGAUUUGGAACUACAUGUCUUAUGUGUAUGCAUAGAAUUUCUACGGUUCCGGUUGCAUGUAUGGAUUGAAGACGUUGGUUUGGGUUGAAAGUAUGAAGACAUCGGUUCGGAAAGUUAUUGCAUAUGUAUUUUUGUUACUUUAAAACUUUUGUAAUAUUGUGUUACUUUGAAACCUUUGUAUUUUAUAUUCUUGGGUUAUAUUAUAUUGGUUCUAAUUUAA
Long non-coding RNA from Helianthus annuus (common sunflower), 708 nucleotides. RefSeq lists it as uncharacterized. Lineage: Eukaryota; Viridiplantae; Streptophyta; Magnoliopsida; Asterales; Asteraceae. The record is from RefSeq and is a predicted model, not a curated record. The transcript is spliced from 4 exons.